CCCACCCAAAGCUCGAGAAGGGGCGGUGCUAGGGGUGGUGACCGGAAGCGCCUGCAGUUUUCGGCCGCGGUUUGAUAGUUGUUGUGAAGAGGAUCCCGGUGCUCUGUGUCCUAGCGGCGUGAAGAGAAAGGAGAGAUUAAGUCUUCACUGUGAUAAGGAUUUUAUUCAUUUCUUCUUCCGCUGUCCAUGAUCCAGUUUGAAUUGUUUUGUAUGAAGUGGUUUCUUGGAAUCUCUGCUUAGCCCUUGGGACAGACCCUGUGGUGAAGGCUGCAAGAUCUUCCAUUUCCAGCAUCAGCAGCUGUGGUUAAGUCCACAGGUGCCCACCUGACCUCGGGUUCCUGGGAAGGGCAGAGUUGUCAGCAAGAGAACCUGGGGGUAAAGCCCAGCAGGAAGAUGCCAGGCAAUCGGAGUGCUGCUGGGCCGUCCCUGACCCUGACUACAGGGGGACGUGACAACUCCUGUGAGAUCAGAAUUGCCUCGAUAAUCAAUGGCGCGGGACAAGACCGGCCACAUCAGACUCUUAUAUGGACUAUGAGGGCUACUCCAUUUCUUCUAAGGGAUUCUUGCCCACAGUGUUAGAUAUAAUGGUCAUCUGAGUUAAUUCACCCAUUCCAGUCUAUUUUAGUUCACUGAUUCCUAAAGUGAUUCCUAUAUUAACAGUAUAUUGGUUAUAAAAAUGGUGAUACAUGCAAAAACUGAAUAUUAUGCCACUGCUCAAAUUGUAUAUAAAAAAAUUUGCCGACAUGGAGAAAUGUGUAAGUUAGUGUAAAGAGCAAAAAAUGAAGGUAAACAAUUCUAGUUUUCAUGAAAA
Long non-coding RNA from Cervus elaphus (red deer), 811 nucleotides. RefSeq lists it as uncharacterized. Lineage: Eukaryota; Metazoa; Chordata; Mammalia; Artiodactyla; Cervidae. The record is from RefSeq and is a predicted model, not a curated record. The transcript has 4 exons.